This 254-nucleotide ribosomal RNA is filed under the name uncultured bacterium. Its description in RNAcentral is "partial 16S ribosomal RNA". It matches the Rfam family "Bacterial small subunit ribosomal RNA", at positions 524 to 777 of the family's 1533-position model. The record is from RNAcentral.
UACGAAGGGGGCUAGCGUUGUUCGGAAUCACUGGGCGUAAAGGGCGCGUAGGCGGCUUUGUAAGUCGGGGGUGAAAGCCUGUGGCUCAACCACAGAAUUGCCUUCGAUACUGCAUGGCUUGAGACCGGAAGAGGUUAGUGGAACUGCGAGUGUAGAGGUGAAAUUCGUAGAUAUUCGCAAGAACACCAGUGGCGAAGGCGGCUGACUGGUCCGGUUCUGACGCUGAGGCGCGAAAGCGUGGGGAGCAAACAGGG